UUUUCUUUUUACUUCAACAUUAUCUUAAUAAAAUGAGUAAAUCUGUUCUUAUCAGUUUAAUAUUGGAUAUGUUCUUUAGCUGAGGACUAUAUAUUAAAUGGAUUUUUGGAACAGGGAAAUGGAAUAGGAGCUUGCUCCGUCCUCUCCACGCAUCAGCCUGGUAUUGCAGUACUUCUGGGUAUGGUGCCUUUCCC
Small nuclear RNA from Dermochelys coriacea (leatherback sea turtle), 194 nucleotides. RefSeq annotates it as U2 spliceosomal RNA. NCBI's taxonomy places the organism in Eukaryota, Metazoa, Chordata, Testudines, Dermochelyidae. The transcript has a single exon. The record is from RefSeq and is a predicted model, not a curated record.